CUACGUGCCAGCAGCCGCGGUAAUACGUAGGUCCCGAGCGUUGUCCGGAUUUAUUGGGCGUAAAGCGAGCGCAGGCGGUUAGAUAAGUCUGAAGUUAAAGGCUGUGGCUUAACCAUAGUACGCUUUGGAAACUGUUUAACUUGAGUGCAAGAGGGGAGAGUGGAAUUCCAUGUGUAGCGGUGAAAUGCGUAGAUAUAUGGAGGAACACCGGUGGCGAAAGCGGCUCUCUGGCUUGUAACUGACGCUGAGGCUCGAAAGCGUGGGGAGCAAGCAGGAUUAGAUACCCUGGUAGUCCACGCCGUAAACGAUGAGUGCUAGGUGUUAGACCCUUUCCGGGGUUUAGUGCCGYAGCUAACGCAUUAAGCACUCCGCCUGGGGAGUACGACCGCAAGGUUGAAACUCAAAGGAAUUGACGGGGGCCCGCACAAGCGGUGGAGCAUGUGGUUUAAUUCGAAGCAACGCGAAGAACCUUACCAGGUCUUGACAUCCCUCUGACCGCUCUAGAGAUAGAGUUUUC
This 517-nucleotide ribosomal RNA is filed under the name uncultured bacterium. RNAcentral's name for it is "bacterial SSU rRNA". It matches the Rfam family "Bacterial small subunit ribosomal RNA", at positions 501 to 1016 of the family's 1533-position model. The record is from RNAcentral.